GUGUCUCACUUCAGUGACUCCUAUGCUAAAAUUGUCAUGAUAUAGGGACAUGGCCCCUGUGCAAGGAAGACCUAUAAAUUUAUGGAGUGGUCCGUAUGCUU
This is a small nuclear RNA of Rattus norvegicus (Norway rat), 101 nucleotides long. The record is from Ensembl. Lineage: Eukaryota; Metazoa; Chordata; Mammalia; Rodentia; Muridae.